UUCGCCCUUUCGGUUGAUCCUGCCGGAGGUUACUGCUAUCGGUGUUCGACUAAGCCAUGCGAGUCAAAUGUUCUUUGUGAACAUGGCGGACUGCUCAGUAACACGUGGAUAACCUGCCCUUAGGUUUGGCAUAACUCCGGGAAACUGGAGAUAAUUCCGAAUAGGUCAAAUAUGCUGGAAUGCUUUUUGGCCAAAAGACCCCGGUUGCCUAAGGAUGGAUCUGCGGUCUAUCAGGUUGUAGUGGGUGUAACGUACCUACUAGCCUACGACGGAUAUGGGUUGUGAGAGCAAGAGCCCAGAGAUGGAUUCUGAGACAUGAAUCCAGGCCCUACGGGGCGCAGCAGGCGCGAAAACUUUACAAUGCGGGAAACCGCGAUAAGGGGACACCGAGUGCCAGCAUUUAUGUUGGCUGUCCACACGUGUAAACGGCAUGUGUUAGCAAGGGCCGGGCAAGACCGGUGCCAGCCGCCGCGGUAACACCGGCGGCCCGAGUGGUAAUCACUUUUAUUGGGUCUAAAGGGUCCGUAGCCGGUUUGAUCAGUUCUUCGGGAAAUCUGACAGCUCAACUGUUAGGCUUCCGGGGAAUACUGUCAGACUUGGGACCGGGAGAGGUAAGAGGUACUACAGGGGUAGGAGUGAAAUCUUGUAAUCCCUGUGGGACCACCAGUGGCGAAGGCGUCUUACCAGAACGGGUCCGACGGUGAGGGACGAAAGCUGGGGGCACGAACCGGAUUAGAUACCC
RNAcentral lists this ribosomal RNA (742 nucleotides) under uncultured archaeon. RNAcentral describes it as "bacterial SSU rRNA". It matches the Rfam family "Archaeal small subunit ribosomal RNA", at positions 1 to 738 of the family's 1478-position model. The record is from RNAcentral.